This 307-nucleotide long non-coding RNA is filed under the name Calidris pygmaea (Spoon-billed sandpiper). RNAcentral describes it as "lncRNA (ENSCPGG00000019151.1)". Lineage: Eukaryota; Metazoa; Chordata; Aves; Charadriiformes; Scolopacidae. The record is from RNAcentral.
AUGUGUUUUCCUCAUCUUAAGCUUGUUCAGGGAUUUACAGCAUCCCCAUCUCAGAAGAACAAAACUGCUUUGAGGGGAAGGAAAUCUGCAAAAGAUGGCCUGAAGCAGGAGCCUGUGGCAUCUUUGCAGACCAGUGCAACAAUGUGUACUGUGAAUAGCUCAGAUACUACCUGGCUACUACGACUUCCAAGACCUGUGAGAGAAUGCGAUCAGCAAAGGCCUUGGCAGGUGAGUGACUGUACAUUCCUUCAGCUGUAGAUUCUACUACAAAGAACCAGUUUAGGACACACAAAACCAGUAUCUGUAA